Molecule: long non-coding RNA, 1556 nt
Organism: Oryctolagus cuniculus (rabbit)
Lineage: Eukaryota; Metazoa; Chordata; Mammalia; Lagomorpha; Leporidae
Source: Ensembl
AAGUGGCAGCGGGCAGCUCCUGGCCACAGAGCCUGCACCGCGUGGAGGCAGAGGGUCCUGCCGGGGAGGCCAGGGUGCCCCUGGGUCGCAAAGCAGGUGGGCUGCUGGAGGUUUGGCAAGUGCCCCUCCUGCCUUGCUGUGGGUGGGGAGAGGUGGGAGAGCUGAGCUCCUGGCAGCCAGGGCUUCAUGUAUAUUCAGGCGAGGCGGGGCCCAGAGCCUUGUUCCCGUAAUUGACAAGUGCACGGGCUGCCUCCCUGCCUCCCCUGCCUGUGCCCUGGGAUCCCGCAGGCAGGGGCGGGGGUGUGUGUGCGGGUGGAGGGUGUGGGCCUGCUGCUGGCCAGGUGUGCAUCCAUAUUUAUCAGGGGUGUGCCCCUGGGAAGCAGCCGGAUGCUGAGCGCGCCGGGCAAUCUGCCUGGGCCAGCUGCUCCACUCCCGGCCAGCCGGCGGAAGCCCCCAGCCUGAAGAGCGGCCCUGGAAUUCCGGGGCUUGCUGAUGCCUGUGGGGGUAAAUGCUUGGCCCCCACCAGGAAGCUAACAGGCACACACUCCUGAGAAGUUAAGAAAGACCGAACUUUGACCCAGAGAUGGAAUAGCUGGAGGUUACACAGCGAUUUGAUGAGGGGCCCAGCUGGACUCUGCUGCCUGGUGAUUCCUGGGACAGUGGGGUGGGGCGGGAGGGUGGCCUGGCCAUGCCGAGGGGCCGUUGAGGGGGGCCUGCGUGCAGCCUGUGCGAGUCACAGCCCCAGCCCCACAAAGCGCCUUGCACUUGGCAGGGAGUCCUCUCACCUGCCACCUCCCGUCUUCCCGGCACCUGGCAGGCACCUGCCAGGGAACGUCACAAAGUUAGUUCAAGAUGGAGUUUCAAGGAUGUAUAAAUCACCACCUCCUGGAAGCCUUCUGUGAUUAAGUCCAUUCAUUCAACACAAAUUUGUGGUGUGGUUGUCACAUGCCAGGCACAAUAAUGGACACUGGGAAUGCUGUAGUGAAGGAGGUACGUUUCUGUUCCUGUAAAGUGAGAGACAGGAAGUGUGUGUGACGAGUAGGGGGCAAGUCUCUGGAGGUGCGGGGAGCAUGAGCUGGUUUUCAAAGGAGAGAACCCUGAGAUGCAGGGGGAGCCCCAGUCCGCCCCGGCUCACCUUGUGCCCAGACUCGGGCGCUUGCCCACCUCGGAGCUCCUUUCCACACCUGUGAAGGAAAAGGGCCUUUCCCUGGCGAAUUACUGUGUUACUCCUUAGAAGCAGAUUUACUUUCAGACAAAUUUAUAGACACAUAUUAGUUCUUGUGACUUUGGCAUUGCAGAAAAAUGUGAAAUUCCAAUUAAGCACAGAGGGGCAAAAAGGAAACAUAGUCCCAGAAUAAUCAGCGUGAAACCAUGCCUGUCACCCACAGUCCCGCCUCUCAGGGCUACGGCCCCUGGCAUUUUGGGGGUCGCAGCUAUAGUUGAAGCUGGUGGCAAACCCUCUCCCUAGGUCCUCAAAAAUGCUUUCUCUUCCACUCGCCUGCCUCCUUCUUGCUUGCCCUGGGAUGGGGCAGGGAGAAGGGACAAGCUCAGGUGCC